UUGAAGAGUUUGAUCAUGGCUCAGAUUGAACGCUGGCGGCAGGCCUAACACAUGCAAGUCGAGCGGUAGCACAGAGAGCUUGCUCUCGGGUGACGAGCGGCGGACGGGUGAGUAAUGUCUGGGAAACUGCCUGAUGGAGGGGGAUAACUACUGGAAACGGUAGCUAAUACCGCAUAACGUCGCAAGACCAAAGUGGGGGACCUUCGGGCCUCAUGCCAUCAGAUGUGCCCAGAUGGGAUUAGCUAGUAGGUGGGGUAACGGCUCACCUAGGCGACGAUCCCUAGCUGGUCUGAGAGGAUGACCAGCCACACUGGAACUGAGACACGGUCCAGACUCCUACGGGAGGCAGCAGUGGGGAAUAUUGCACAAUGGGCGCAAGCCUGAUGCAGCCAUGCCGCGUGUGUGAAGAAGGCCUUCGGGUUGUAAAGCACUUUCAGCGGGGAGGAAGGCGUUAAGGUUAAUAACCUCAUCGAUUGACGUUACCCGCAGAAGAAGCACCGGCUAACUCCGUGCCAGCAGCCGCGGUAAUACGGAGGGUGCAAGCGUUAAUCGGAAUUACUGGGCGUAAAGCGCACGCAGGCGGUCUGUCAAGUCGGAUGUGAAAUCCCCGGGCUCAACCUGGGAACUGCAUUCGAAACUGGCAGGCUAGAGUCUUGUAGAGGGGGGUAGAAUUCCAGGUGUAGCGGUGAAAUGCGUAGAGAUCUGGAGGAAUACCGGUGGCGAAGGCGGCCCCCUGGACAAAGACUGACGCUCAGGUGCGAAAGCGUGGGGAGCAAACAGGAUUAGAUACCCUGGUAGUCCACGCCGUAAACGAUGUCGAUUUGGAGGUUGUGCCCUUGAGGCGUGGCUUCCGGAGCUAACGCGUUAAAUCGACCGCCUGGGGAGUACGGCCGCAAGGUUAAAACUCAAAUGAAUUGACGGGGGCCCGCACAAGCGGUGGAGCAUGUGGUUUAAUUCGAUGCAACGCGAAGAACCUUACCUGGUCUUGACAUCCACAGAACUUUGCAGAGAUGGAUUGGUGCCUUCGGGAACUGUGAGACAGGUGCUGCAUGGCUGUCGUCAGCUCGUGUUGUGAAAUGUUGGGUUAAGUCCCGCAACGAGCGCAACCCUUAUCCUUUGUUGCCAGCGGUCCGGCCGGGAACUCAAAGGAGACUGCCAGUGAUAAACUGGAGGAAGGUGGGGAUGACGUCAAGUCAUCAUGGCCCUUACGACCAGGGCUACACACGUGCUACAAUGGCAUAUACAAAGAGAAGCGACCUCGCGAGAGCAAGCGGACCUCAUAAAGUAUGUCGUAGUCCGGAUUGGAGUCUGCAACUCGACUCCAUGAAGUCGGAAUCGCUAGUAAUCGUAGAUCAGAAUGCUACGGUGAAUACGUUCCCGGGCCUUGUACACACCGCCCGUCACACCAUGGGAGUGGGUUGCAAAAGAAGUAGGUAGCUUAACCUUCGGGAGGGCGCUUACCACUUUGUGAUUCAUGACUGGGGUGAAGUCGUAACAAGGUAACCGUAGGGGAACCUGCGGUUGGAUCACCUCCUU
RNAcentral lists this ribosomal RNA (1536 nucleotides) under Klebsiella pneumoniae. RNAcentral's name for it is "bacterial SSU rRNA". It matches the Rfam family "Bacterial small subunit ribosomal RNA". Lineage: Bacteria; Pseudomonadati; Pseudomonadota; Gammaproteobacteria; Enterobacterales; Enterobacteriaceae. The record is from RNAcentral.